GCUCGUAGUCGGAUUUCGGGGCGGGCCGAGCGGUCUGCCGAUGGGUAUGCACUGUUCGGCGCGUCCUUCUUUCCGGAGACCGCGCCUACUCUUAGCUGAGCGGGCGCGGGAGACGGAUCGUUUACUUUGAAAAAAUCAGAGUGUUUCAAGCAGGCAGCUCGCUCUUGCAUGGAUUAGCAUGGGAUAAUGAAAUAGGACUCUGGUGCUAUUUUGUUGGUUUCGAACACCGGAGUAAUGAUUAACAGGGACAGUCAGGGGCACUCGUAUUCCGUCGAGAGAGGUGAAAUUCUCAGACCAAUGGAAGACGAACCACUGCGAAAGCAUUUGCCAGGGAUGUUUUCACUGAUCAAGAACGAAAGUUAGGGGAUCGAAGACGAUCAGAUACCGUCGUAGUCUUAACCAUAAACCAUGCCGACUAGGGAUUGGAGGGUGUUCUAUUUGACCUCUUCAGCACCUUACGGGAAACUAAAGUCUUUGGGUUCCGGGGGGAGUAUGGUCGCAAGGCUGAAACUUAAAGGAAUUGACGGAAGGGCACCACCAGGAGUGGAGCCUGCGGCUUAAUUUGACUCAACACGGGGAAACUUACCAGGUCCAGACAUUGUUAGGAUUGACAGAUUGAGAGCUCUUUCUUGAUUCGAUGGGUGGUGGUGCAUGGCCGUUCUUAGUUGGUGGAGUGAUUUGUCUGGUUA
The sequence is a ribosomal RNA, 689 nucleotides long. It matches the Rfam family "Eukaryotic small subunit ribosomal RNA", at positions 626 to 1321 of the family's 1831-position model.